GACGAACGCUGGCGGCGUGCUUAACACAUGCAAGUCGAACGGUGACGGAGAGCUUGCUCUCCUGAUCAGUGGCGAACGGGUGAGUAACACGUGGGCAACCUGCCCCAGACUUCGGGAUAACGCUUCGAAAGAGGUGCUAAUACCGGAUACGAACUCCUUGGGCAUCCUUGGAGUUGGAAAGUUUUUCGGUCUGGGAUGGGCCCGCGGCCUAUCAGCUUGUUGGUGAGGUAACGGCUCACCAAGGCGACGACGGGUAGCCGGCCUGAGAGGGCGACCGGCCACACUGGGACUGAGACACGGCCCAGACUCCUACGGGAGGCAGCAAUGGGGAAUAUUGCGCAAUGGGCGAAAGCCUGACGCAGCAACGCCGCGUGAGGGAUGACGGCCUUGGUUGUAAACCUCUUUCAGCAGGAAGAAGCGAAAGUGACGGUACCUAGCAGAAGAAG
RNAcentral lists this ribosomal RNA (446 nucleotides) under uncultured bacterium. RNAcentral's name for it is "bacterial SSU rRNA". It matches the Rfam family "Bacterial small subunit ribosomal RNA", at positions 28 to 490 of the family's 1533-position model. The record is from RNAcentral.